RNAcentral lists this ribosomal RNA (392 nucleotides) under uncultured bacterium. Its description in RNAcentral is "partial 16S ribosomal RNA". It matches the Rfam family "Bacterial small subunit ribosomal RNA", at positions 523 to 918 of the family's 1533-position model. The record is from RNAcentral.
AUACGGAGGACGCGAGCGUUAUCCGGAUUCAUUGGGUUUAAAGGGAGCGUAGGCGGGAGCUUAAGUCAGCGGUUAAAUGGUGCGGCUCAACCGUGCCCUGCCGUUGAAACUGGGUUUCUUGAGAGUGCAAGAGGCGGAUGGAAUUCAUGGUGUAGCGGGGAAAUGCUUAGAUAUCAUGAAGAACUCCGAUUGCGAAGGCAGUCCGCUGGGGCUCGUCUGACGCUGAUGCUCGAAGGUGCGGGAAUCAAACAGGAUUAGAUACCCUGGUAGUCCGCACGGUAAACGAUGAUUACCCGCUGUCGGCGGCAGACAGUCGGCGGCCAAGCGAAAGCGAUAAGUAAUCCACCUGGGGAGUACGCCGGCAACGGUGAAACUCAAAUGAAUUGACGGGG